GACGAACGCUGGCGGCGUGCUUAACACAUGCAAGUCGAACGGAAAGGCCCUGCUUUUGUGGGGUGCUCGAGUGGCGAACGGGUGAGUAACACGUGAGUAACCUGCCCUUGACUUUGGGAUAACUUCAGGAAACUGGGGCUAAUACCGGAUAUGAGCUCCUGCUGCAUGGUGGGGGUUGGAAAGUUUCGGCGGUUGGGGAUGGACUCGCGGCUUAUCAGCUUGUUGGUGGGGUAGUGGCUUACCAAGGCUUUGACGGGUAGCCGGCCUGAGAGGGUGACCGGCCACAAUGGGACUGAGAUACGGCCCAGACUCCAACGGGAGGCAGCAGGGGGGAAUAUUGCACAAUGGGCGGAAGCCUGAUGCAGCAACGCCGCGUGCGGGAUGACGGCCUUCGGGUUGUAAACCGCUUUCGCCUGUGACGAAGCGUGAGUGACGGUAAUGGGUAAAGAAGCACCGGCUAACUACGUG
This 468-nucleotide ribosomal RNA is filed under the name uncultured bacterium. RNAcentral's name for it is "partial 16S ribosomal RNA". It matches the Rfam family "Bacterial small subunit ribosomal RNA", at positions 28 to 507 of the family's 1533-position model. The record is from RNAcentral.